GCACACGGACCCCAUCUGCAUCGCCUCACUGAACCCUGGCCACAGCCGCACGGGGUGUGCUUCUCACCCCUGUCCUGGCGGGGGACGUGAGGCCCGGAGGGCUGUGCCUCCCGGCCACGAGGCACGCGGCCACUCAGGGGACAGGGCAGGCGAUGGACCCCGAGCCCCGCCCGCGGCGCCGCCCUCCGUCCAGCACCUCCGGCUCCGCCCGCGGCCUCCAGCAGCCCCUGGGCGGGGACGGUGCCCCGGGCUCAGCCCGCCCGGGAGAGAGGAAUCACAGCCCCGCCCGAUGCGGCUGUGUCCGCCGCCGGGGUCGCCGCUGCGGGAGGAGCGGGCAGAGACCGGGGCGGGGGAGCCGCCCGUCAGCCCCGCGAGCUCCGUCCUCCGAAGACCGUGUUGCGCCUGCGCCUCGUUCUGUAAAUUCUGCAGUGGCCUUUGGCCAAAAGCAAGAAAAUCGUGACCUAGAAAAGGUACUGAGGAGAUUAAACUCACUGUGUGGCUCCAGAGAGCAAAACGAGGACCAGUUGGCAGAACCUUCCAGGAGGCAGCCUCCCCAGGGGAGCUGCUGGCUCAAGAAGGACCUGAGGACAGACCGGAGCCCACCUACACCCUCAAGAAGAGCCCUCUCACCUGCCGAGGAAAAACCACAGGGCAGAACACAGGCACAGACCCUACAAGCUACUCACAGACUGACAAAACUGAGGACUUAAACCCAGGACACAACAUCUCAGAUAACUCUGAGAGGCUGCUCUGAAGAGGCAAGGGGAGAGCCAGGAUAUACAGGAGUUUUUGCAACAAAGAGCAGUGGUUGAGAAUCUGCCUGCUAAUGCAGGGGACACGGGUUCGAGCCCUGGUCUGGGAAGAUCCCACAUGCCGCAGAGCAACUAAGCCCGUGAGCCACAAUUACUGAGCCUGCGCGUCUGGAGCCUGUGCUCCGCAACAAGAGAGGCCGUGAUGGUGAGAGGCCCGCGCACCGCGAUGAAGAGUGGCCCCCGCUUGCCGCGACUGGAGAAAGCCCUCGCACAGAAACGAAGACCCAACACAGCCAUAAAAAAAAUAAAUAAAUAAAAAUUUAAAAAAAAAAAAGGAAAUGACUGUAUAUGAAAAGUAGGAUGUAUAUUUUCAGUAAAAGAAGGUAUGCAGAAAGGAAAUACGUUUUUACUGAGGAAAAUGAAUGGAAUUUUGUCCUAAAGUAAAAUGAUUGUUCCAGAACAGAAAAAAAGAAAAAGGUAAGACAAAACCUAAAUCAACAUAGAAAGUUAUAGAAGGUUUGUGGAAAAGGAACUUUUAUACAUGGACAGGACUAGCUAAGAUUGGAAUGAAUGAGUUUUAAUAUCAAAAGUAAGCUGGGGGGCUUCUGUGGUGGCGCAGUGGUUGAGAAUCUGCCUGCCAAUGCAGGGGACACGGGUUCGAGCCCUGGUCUGGGAAGAUCCCACGUGCCGCAGAGCGACUACGCCCGUGAGCCACAACUACUGAGCCUGCGCGUCUGGAGCCUGUGCUCCGCAACGGGAGAGGCCGCGAUAGUGAGAGGCCCGCGCACCGCGAUGAAGGGUGGCCCCCACUUGCCGCAACUAGAGAAAGCCCUCGCACAGAAACGAAGACCCAACACAGCCAUAAAUAAAUAAAUAAAUAAAUAAAUAAAACUAAAAAAAGAUGAGUUUGUGUACUAAACUCAUCAGUAUGUGUACUAAAAAAAAAAUUUAAAAAAAAAAAAAAGGGGCUUCCCUGGUGGCGCAGUGGUUGAGAAUCUGCCUGCCAAUGCAGGGGACACGGGUUCGAGCCCUGGUCUGGGAAGAUCCCAUAUGCCACGGAGCAACGAGGCCCGUGAGCCACAACUACUGAGCCUGCGCGUCUGGAGCCUGUGCUCCGCAACAAGAGAGGCCGCGAUAGCGAGAGGCCCACGCACCGCAAUGAAGAGUGGCCCCCGCUUGCCACAACUCGAGAAAGCCCUCGCACAGAAAUGAAGACCCAACACAGCCAUAAAUAAAUAAAUAAAUAAAAAUUUAAAAAAAAAAAAAUUAAAAAAAUAAAAAAUAAAACAGAUGUUUAAAAAAAAAAAUUAAAAAAGUAAGCUGGUACAAAAUUAGAAUUUGUUUUUCUCUCUGUUAAAAGGAUAAAUUUUUA
Balaenoptera ricei (Rice's whale) is the source of this 2124-nucleotide RNA transcript. RefSeq lists it as uncharacterized. The record is from RefSeq and is a predicted model, not a curated record. The transcript is spliced from 6 exons. NCBI's taxonomy places the organism in Eukaryota, Metazoa, Chordata, Mammalia, Artiodactyla, Balaenopteridae.